Molecule: signal recognition particle RNA, 293 nt
Filed under: Aotus nancymaae (Ma's night monkey)
Lineage: Eukaryota; Metazoa; Chordata; Mammalia; Primates; Aotidae
Description: Metazoan signal recognition particle RNA (ENSANAG00000007887.1)
Rfam family: Metazoan signal recognition particle RNA
About the family: The signal recognition particle (SRP) is a universally conserved ribonucleoprotein. It is involved in the co-translational targeting of proteins to membranes. The eukaryotic SRP consists of a 300-nucleotide 7S RNA and six proteins: SRPs 72, 68, 54, 19, 14, and 9.
Source: RNAcentral
GCCUGGUGCAGUGGCACAUGCCUAUAGUCCCAGCUACUCGGGAGUCUGAGUUGGGAGGAUGGCUUGAGCCCAGGAGUUCUAGGCUGUAAUGUGCUAUGUCGAUCGGGUGUCCACACUAAGUUUGGCAUCAAUAUGGUGACCUCCCAGGAGUGGGGGGCCACCAGGUUGCCUAAGGAGGGGUGAACCGGCCCAGGUUAGAGCAGGUCAACACUCCCAUGCUGAUCAGUAGUGGGAUUGCUCUUGUGAAUAGCCACUGCACUCCAGCCUGGGCAACAUAGAGACACCCCAUCUCU